CCCUCGACCAGCCCCAAUGAUUUAAGGGUGACUGUGUAUGAUCCCUUAGGAGGGGUGCCC
RNAcentral lists this small nucleolar RNA (60 nucleotides) under Saccharolobus islandicus HVE10/4. RNAcentral's name for it is "Sulfolobus islandicus HVE10/4 non-coding RNA". Lineage: Archaea; Thermoproteati; Thermoproteota; Thermoprotei; Sulfolobales; Sulfolobaceae. The record is from RNAcentral.